Molecule: ribosomal RNA, 488 nt
Filed under: uncultured bacterium
Lineage: Bacteria
Description: bacterial SSU rRNA
Rfam family: Bacterial small subunit ribosomal RNA
Source: RNAcentral
CCCUUAGAGUUUGAUCCUGGCUCAGGACGAACGCUGGCGGCGCGCCUAACACAUGCAAGUCGAACGAGCGAGAGAGAGCUUGCUUUCUCAAGCGAGUGGCGAACGGGUGAGUAACGCGUGAGGAACCUGCCUCAAAGAGGGGGACAACAGUUGGAAACGACUGCUAAUACCGCAUAAGCCCACGACCCGGCAUCGGGUAGAGGGAAAAGGAGCAAUCCGCUUUGAGAUGGCCUCGCGUCCGAUUAGCUAGUUGGUGAGGUAAUGGCCCACCAAGGCGACGAUCGGUAGCCGGACUGAGAGGUUGAACGGCCACAUUGGGACUGAGACACGGCCCAGACUCCUACGGGAGGCAGCAGUGGGGAAUAUUGCACAAUGGGGGAAACCCUGAUGCAGCGACGCCGCGUGGAGGAAGAAGGUCUUCGGAUUGUAAACUCCUGUUGUUGAGGAAGAUAAUGACGGUACUCAACAAGGAAGUGACGGCUACUCUG